This 513-nucleotide ribosomal RNA is filed under the name uncultured bacterium. RNAcentral describes it as "partial 16S ribosomal RNA". It matches the Rfam family "Bacterial small subunit ribosomal RNA", at positions 28 to 507 of the family's 1533-position model. The record is from RNAcentral.
GACGAACGCUGGCGGCGUGCUUAACACAUGCAAGUCGAACGAGAGCGUAGAGAAAGCUUGCUUUUUCUACAAUCUAGUGGCAAACGGGUGAGUAACGCGUAAACAACCUGCCCUACGGAUGGGGACAACAGCUGGAAACGGCUGCUAAUACCGAAUACGUUCCGAAAGUCGCAUGACUAUCGGAAGAAAGGAUGGCCUCUAUUUAUAAGCUAUCGCCGGAGGAGGGGUUUGCGUCUGAUUAGCUAGUUGGAGGGGUAAAGGCCCACCAAGGCGACGAUCAGUAGCCGGUCUGAGAGGAUGAACGGCCACAUUGGAACUGAGACACGGUCCAGACUCCUACGGGAGGCAGCAGUGGGGAAUCUUCCGCAAUGGGCGAAAGCCUGACGGAGCAACGCCGCGUGAGUGAAGACGGCCUUCGGGUUGUAAAGCUCUGUUAUACGGGACGAAUAAUCUUGUGGUUAAUACCCAUGAGAAGUGACGGUACCGUAAGAGAAAGCCACGGCUAACUACGUG